Molecule: ribosomal RNA, 334 nt
Filed under: Pseudomonas putida S11
Lineage: Bacteria; Pseudomonadati; Pseudomonadota; Gammaproteobacteria; Pseudomonadales; Pseudomonadaceae
Description: bacterial LSU rRNA
Rfam family: Bacterial large subunit ribosomal RNA
Source: RNAcentral
GGGUUUAGAACGUCGUGAGACAGUUCGGUCCCUAUCUGCCGUGGACGUUUGAGAUUUGAGAGGGGCUGCUCCUAGUACGAGAGGACCGGAGUGGACGAACCUCUGGUGUUCCGGUUGUCACGCCAGUGGCAUUGCCGGGUAGCUAUGUUCGGAAGAGAUAACCGCUGAAAGCAUCUAAGCGGGAAACUUGCCUCAAGAUGAGAUCUCACUGGGAUCUUGAAUCCCCUAAAGGGCCGUCGAAGACUACGACGUUGAUAGGUUGGGUGUGUAAGCGCUGUGAGGCGUUGAGCUAACCAAUACUAAUUGCCCGUGAGGCUUGACCAUAUAACACCCA